CCCCCCCAAUAUUGAAGCCAGGCGCAGCAUCGCGUUACGUCACUGUACUCCCCCUCCCCUCUCUGAACUGCUGAGUGAGCACUCAGAAGGGAGGGAAACAGCGACACAGAAGUCAGAAACUUGUGAAUGAGUACAAUGCCACCACCAACUAAAAGGCUGAAACAGCAGCAGGACUUACUCAGCUUUUUUAAAAAGAGUAACGUCAGUGUGAGUAACAGUCACACAACACAAGGGCAACACCUGUGUUGCCCUUGUGUUGAAAUUAGCCCGGUCUGGGCGUGCGUUUUACGAGGAUUUUUUAUUUUUUGCGUGGUUUUGCUUAGCCGAAAUGGACAGAUAUUAUACCUGCCGCGCUCCUGAUCGUUGGUUAAAACCACAGGGAGAGUUAAUUUUAAUUCUUAGCAGCGGCUAACCAACUAAUUAACUUCUGCACCUUUAUUUCCUCAAAUAAACUGCUGGCUCCUCUUUUUAGACUAUAAAUAGAUUAACACAACAUUGACAACUCUGUAGUUUUCUCUGUUCUGUACUGCAAAUUGGAAUUAAAGGCGCCAUUUCUACCAAAGGUCUGGACAGACUGGCGAC
Long non-coding RNA from Fundulus heteroclitus (mummichog), 582 nucleotides. RefSeq lists it as uncharacterized. NCBI's taxonomy places the organism in Eukaryota, Metazoa, Chordata, Actinopteri, Cyprinodontiformes, Fundulidae. The record is from RefSeq and is a predicted model, not a curated record. The transcript is spliced from 3 exons.